This is a long non-coding RNA of Oncorhynchus gorbuscha (pink salmon), 1763 nucleotides long. RefSeq lists it as uncharacterized. NCBI's taxonomy places the organism in Eukaryota, Metazoa, Chordata, Actinopteri, Salmoniformes, Salmonidae. The record is from RefSeq and is a predicted model, not a curated record. The transcript has 6 exons.
GUGCAACCGAAGUCUUUCAAGAUAUGUUUUCCCUCUGCAGGGAUUGAACAAAAUGUGCCAGAAGGGGCGUGGGCCGGAAUCAAACCCAUGCUGACACGGAAUUUCAGGAUGCACAGGAAACAUUUUCCAUGACAAAAGAGUUAACUACGGCACUGACGUAUAGUUGAUCAAGGAGGGAGGAGCCAGAGAGCUUUGACGGCAUUGUGACCAAUCUGAGAGAUGUCGUCAUAGCAGCAACAGGAGCUGACUGUGCGCCCCUCCUCUUCACUGACCCCCAGGCCAAGGUCAUUGGAACUGUUCACAAACGGUGGAAAGAAACCCAUAUGGAUGUUGCCAUAGCUACAGUCAACGCCAUGGUGACCGGGUUCGGCAGCAGCAUGUGGGAUGUCACUGUAGUGAUCAGGCCAUCGGUGGGGGCCUGUUGUUUUACGCUGUAGAGAGAGCAGGCUGUUCUAAUCUAUCUACCUUGACUGUGUUCUUGGCAUGGCUGAGGCCAGGCCUCAUAUCAACAUACAACUAACCACCAGAAUACUUCUCCAGAGGGGUGGGGUCUUGCCUGAGCGUAUCCAUGACGACACGCUGAAUGACAGGCCGAGCGUGACCCUAUGCACAUCCUCUCACCUGAGGCCUUCUUCUCCCGCGUCAGGGACGGGCUUAACUUUGGAACACAGUCCCGACAAAAUAAUGGUGUCCAGACCUGUUGCCCUCAAUCAUCAUGAAAACCUUUGGGCUCCUGGUACUGUCCCAUCUGAAAACCUUCACUGAUGCCUCCCUCCACCCACGGCAGUUUGCCUACAGAGCUAACAGGUCUGUGGACGACUCUGUCAACAUGGGCCUACACUACAACACCUAUGCAAGGAUAUUAUUUGUGGACAUUAGCUCUCCGUUCAAUACCAUCAUCCCAGAAUUUCUAAAAAACAAACUCUCCCAGCUUAAUGUGUCCAGCUCCAUGUGUCCAGCUCCAUCUGUCAGCAGAUCACUGAAUUCCUGACCAACAGGAGGCAACAAGUGAAGCUGGGAAACACCUUUCGGACUAUUUAUCCCUCAGCACCGGAGAGCUGCAAGGAUGCUGCUCUCACCUCACCUCUACUCACUCUACACCAAUGACUGCACCUCCAACAACGCAUCUGUCCAACUACUCAGGUUUUCAGAUGACACCAAUCUGGUCGGUCUCAUCACCAACAGCAAUGAGUCUAUGCACCGUAGAGUGGCCUAGUGUAGUCGCAAUAACCUGGAAUUCAACACAGAAAAAAAACGUGGAAAUGGUGAUUGACUUCAGAAAGCGCCCCCCAACAUCUCUCCCCCUCGAGAGUGAUGGCUCAGCUGUUAGCACGGCUGAAUCAGUCAAAUUCCUGUGGAUCAUAAUCUCCCACAACCUCAAGUGGGAGGACAACAUCACCAAUAAGGCACACCAGGGGAUGUACUACUUGCAGCAUCUGAAAAAGCUCAAUAUUUCCAUGUCAACCCUGAUCCGAUUUUACCAUCUUCACCUCCUCCAUCACCAAACUGCAACACAUUGUCUACAGAGCAGGUCAUCUGCUGCCACCUGCCCUCCAUCAAGGUCCUGCACUGACUUCAGGGCAAGGAAGCCUGCAGGAAAGAUCAUUGCCAACCCCAACCCGAUCACCCCCUCCUCAGGUAGGCACCUCCCGCCACCUGGACAGUUUCUUCCCUUGGGCUGUGACCCUCACCAACCGGCCAUCUGGCCCAGAGAGACUAAAGGACUAUGCUGUGAGGUGUGGAAACUGUUACUUUUAUUUAUU